This 377-nucleotide ribosomal RNA is filed under the name uncultured Serratia sp. RNAcentral's name for it is "bacterial SSU rRNA". It matches the Rfam family "Bacterial small subunit ribosomal RNA", at positions 521 to 896 of the family's 1533-position model. The record is from RNAcentral. Lineage: Bacteria; Pseudomonadati; Pseudomonadota; Gammaproteobacteria; Enterobacterales; Yersiniaceae.
UAAUACGAAGGGGGCUAGCGUUGUUCGGAAUUACUGGGCGUAAAGCGCACGCAGGCGGUUUGUUAAGUCAGAUGUGAAAUCCCCGGGCUCAACCUGGGAACUGCAUUUGAAACUGGCAAGCUAGAGUCUCGUAGAGGGGGGUAGAAUUCCAGGUGUAGCGGUGAAAUGCGUAGAGAUCUGGAGGAAUACCGGUGGCGAAGGCGGCCCCCUGGACGAAGGACUGACGCUCAGGUGCGAAAGCGUGGGGAGCAAACAGGAUUAGAUACCCUGGUAGUCCACGCUGUAAACGAUGUCGAUUUGGAGGUUGUGCCCUUGAGGCGUGGCUUCCGGAGCUAACGCGUUAAAUCGACCGCCUGGGGAGUACGGCCGCAAGGUUA